GUUAGGUAAGUAUCUACUGAUUUUUCACCCUUAUUGAUUACAGGCUUCCUGAGAGCAAGGACUGUGUCUUGGAUUCAUUACUCUGUCUCUCGCACCUUCAACUGUCCUUGGAAGCCACACUACCAGCCCAUACCCUGAAUCCACGUGAAUUAGAAAGAAAGGACACUCCUGCCUCAAAUUACUAGAACGUCACCACCUGUGACCAGAGUGUUCCUUGUAAAACUGCUUGGUAAUUGUGAAGUAAGUGACAUCCUCGGGUGGCAGGCAACCUGGGAGCAUGAUUUGCUCCAUUAUAUAAACAUCACCCCUGAGCUGACAAGGUUGUUACUAGUUUCCUUUGCUCUACACGCAACAAGCCAAAUGCUGAGAAACCAAGGUUUACAACCGAGAAAGAGUUUAUGCACAAGGCCGUUAAACAAGGAAACGGAAAACAAGACUUAGCUCUGCUUCCCUGAAGCCAAGAGGGUUGCAAUGUUUAUGGAAUGAGCAGGGAUGAGGAGGGUGGUCCUCAGUUCAGUUCAGUCGCUCAGUCGUGCCCGACUCUUCACGAACCCAUGAAUCGCAGCAUGCCAGGCCUCCCUGUCCAUCACCAACUCCCGGAGUCUACUCAAACUCACGUCAACUGAGUUCGUGAUGCCAUCCAGCCAUCUCAUCCUCUGAUGUCUCCUUCUCCUCCUGCCCCCAGUCCCUCCCAGCAUCAGGGUAUUUUCCAAUGAGUCAACUCUUCGCAUGAGGUGGCCAAAGUAUUGGGGAAAGGUGAUUCGUGCAGAAAGAGGUGAGGUCAUCUGCGCAGGCGCAUUGGGUUGCUCACCUCUGCAUAUUUUAAAUGGAGGUGCCCAGAAGGAUCUGAGGGUGGAGUUUUCUAGUCCUCUGCCUUCCAAAGGCCAUUCAUGAGACACCACUCAGGUCAGUUUUAGGAUCAGCGGUCCCAACUGGUCUUAUCCAGCUCGCAGUGGAGAAGAGCUGACUCCGAGUUCCUAUAGAACAGCUGGGCUAUGGGAAGCUGAGCAGGAGGUGGGUCCUAGAGGAUCUUGCUGUGAUUCAUUUCAAAGAAUGUUGUGCCAUGUUCAAACCAAGACUUAACUAUAAUUUUUGCUGUCCCAGAGAUGGAAUUGUCAGUCAAUCAGGAAGCACCUGAUCUGCAUUUCUUAGGUGCAGUGUGCUCAGUCACGUCUGACUCCACGACCCCAUGGACUGUAACCCGCCAGGCUCCUCUGUCCAUGGGAUUUCCCAAGCAAGAAUACUGGAGUGGAUUGUCAUUUCCUCCUCUAGGGGAUCUUCCUAACCCAGGGAUGGAAACUGCAUCUCCUGUCUCCUGCAUUGGCAGGCAAUUCUUUGUCCCUGAGCCACUUGGGGGCGCCUCCUUAUAGACUGCCAGCUCUUUCCUGAAGGAUGCUACAGCUCUGCAAAAGGCAUUCUAUGGACUUCGAGGGCCCAAGUAAAAGUGAAAGUUGUUCAGUUGUGUCUGACUCUUUGUGACCCCAUGGACUAUACAGUUCAUGGAAUUCUCCAAGCCAGAAUACUGAAGUGGGUAGCCGUUCCCUUCUCCAGGGUAUCUUCCCAAUCCAGGGACUGAACCCAGGUCUCCCACAUUGUAUGCAGAUCCUUUACCAGCUGAGCUACCAGGGAGGCCCAAUACCGGAGUGGGUAGCCUAUCCCUUCUCCAGCAGAUCUUCCCCACCCAGGAGUGGAACCAGGGUCUCCUGCAUUGCAGGCAGAUGCUUUACCAGCUGAGCUACAUGGAAAGCCCAUCUCAGGGCCCAAAUUUCCCCUAAAAAAGCUUGCAGGAAAUUGAUACCAGGGAUAGUAGCUGUUAUAUUUCACAUUCUUACAACCUCCAGGAAUCUGGCUGCCUGAAUUUUAUCAUGUAGCCUGUUAGGGAGUACGAUUCAAACAGGCUUUGAUUUAGCAUCGCCUUUGAAGCUUCCCCAGGCAACCUGGCUUAGUCAUGAAGGUCUAAACCGCGCAUAUUCCAUUUUCUGGUAAAUAUGUCAGUGCCACAUACGUAAAAUUUUAAGUAUAAUGCACGUACCCCUAACCUAUAGAUGCUGGCUAAAAAUGAAGCUUUUGAUUUAGCGUUCUCUGUAC
Bos taurus (domestic cattle) is the source of this 2088-nucleotide long non-coding RNA. The record is from Ensembl. NCBI's taxonomy places the organism in Eukaryota, Metazoa, Chordata, Mammalia, Artiodactyla, Bovidae.